This is a small nuclear RNA of Erinaceus europaeus (western European hedgehog), 107 nucleotides long. The record is from Ensembl. Lineage: Eukaryota; Metazoa; Chordata; Mammalia; Eulipotyphla; Erinaceidae.
GUUCUCACUUCAGCAGCACAUAUACUGACAUUGCAAGGAUAGAGAGAAGAUUAGCGUGGCCCCUGCACAAGGAUAACAUGCAACCUCAUGAAGCGUUCACUAUUUUU